Molecule: long non-coding RNA, 294 nt
Organism: Zea mays
Lineage: Eukaryota; Viridiplantae; Streptophyta; Magnoliopsida; Poales; Poaceae
Exons: 2
Source: RefSeq, a predicted model, not a curated record
UAACUUGAGUGCUAUUGAUUCCCUAUUUAUGGCUUAUGGUUUUUCGGUUUUGUAGCCAUUAAAAUCUCAGAAUGCGAGAUCACACAGUUGGGGACCUCUUCAAAGGAACCAAAUAAUACAUAUGAGUUGAAUGGCAAAUCUUCCAUAGAAAUAUCUACCUUUCUAAGUAGGUGGGAAAUGUCAAUGAUGUUGUGAGUCACCUGGUCUUUAGUUAGGUGUUUCUUUCCUCACAGAGGGGCUUUUUUAUUGUAAAUGUACUAUUUGUUCCAAGCGAAAAAAUCUUUUAUGUUCGAA